This 151-nucleotide non-coding RNA is filed under the name Pseudomonas sp. RNAcentral's name for it is "SAH sequence". It matches the Rfam family "SAH (S-adenosyl-L-homocysteine) riboswitch aptamer". The record is from RNAcentral. Lineage: Bacteria; Pseudomonadati; Pseudomonadota; Gammaproteobacteria; Pseudomonadales; Pseudomonadaceae.
CCAUCCGAGGGGCGCUGCAGCAGGGCGAAUGCCUGUUUUGAAUCUCGCAAGCCACGCGGCUUACCGGCCGCGCCGCAGCAGAUCGAAUCCGGUUUCACCUGUCAGGCUCGGAUGGGGCGUUUCUAGAACGCAUCAACGGCGCCCAUUCGCA